UAUGAGGGCUAAAGUUACUACCAUCACCUCUUUAAUGGAAAAUUCAGAAGACAAACGUUACAAGACCUUGAGACCAAAUUAAACAUUACAAAAGGUCCAUAGUGUCACCUUAGAUGAAAAGGAGAAACAAGAAAUAAAAAGACAAGAAUGAGAUAGAGGAAAUGAGCACACAGGAAAUACAAAAUAAAUUAUAUUUUUUAAAGCACUUUAUUAUGAGGUUGGAGGUAAGGCAAUGAAGCUCCUGGCAUACAAACUAAAGAAGCAGCAAGCAGACAUACAAUUUUCUAAGAUACGAAACCCAGAAUCUUGGGGAAGUUGAACACAGACUGGGAAAAAUCCAGUAAAAGUUUGAAAAUUUUUACAAGAAACUCUAUUCUUAGCAACAUCUUGAUAAUGCUCCUCACACUCAUGCAUUUUUGGCCUCUCUUGACCUACCCUCUAUUUCAGAAGAACAAAAUGAACAAUUAGCAUAAAAAAUAACAGCUGAAGAAUUAAACGCAGCCAUCUCUAGGUUGAAAGCGAAUAAGUCACCAGGCCCAGAUGGCUUCACUGGGGAAUGGUACAAAUCUCUGCAAGAGCAGUUUGUCCCAAGAUUACUGGAGACAUUUAACUGGGUCCUAAAGGAAAAUAAAAUUCCACCUUCCUGGAAAGAAGCAACAAUUUUGAUUCUCUUAUUCCCAAUGAAGGGA
Thalassophryne amazonica is the source of this 689-nucleotide long non-coding RNA. RefSeq lists it as uncharacterized. NCBI's taxonomy places the organism in Eukaryota, Metazoa, Chordata, Actinopteri, Batrachoidiformes, Batrachoididae. The transcript is spliced from 3 exons. The record is from RefSeq and is a predicted model, not a curated record.